This 497-nucleotide ribosomal RNA is filed under the name uncultured bacterium. Its description in RNAcentral is "partial 16S ribosomal RNA". It matches the Rfam family "Bacterial small subunit ribosomal RNA", at positions 899 to 1397 of the family's 1533-position model. The record is from RNAcentral.
ACUCAAAGGAAUAGACGGGGGCCCGCACAAGCAGCGGAGCAUGUGGUUUAAUUCGACGCAACGCGAAGAACCUUACCUGGGCUUGACAUGUGCCUGACUCCUCUGGAAACAGGGGUUCCCUUCGGGGCAGGUUCACAGGUGGUGCAUGGCUGUCGUCAGCUCGUGUCGUGAGAUGUUGGGUUAAGUCCCGCAACGAGCGCAACCCCCGUCGCAUGUUGCCAGCAUUUAGUUGGGGACUCAUGCGAGACUGCCGGUGACAAACCGGAGGAAGGCGGGGAUGACGUCAAGUCAUCAUGCCCCUUAUGUCCAGGGCUACACACGUGCUACAUUGGCGUAUACAGAGGGCGGCGAUACCGCGAGGUGGAGCGAAUCCCUUAAAGUACGUCUCGGUUCGGAUUGUAGGCUGAAACUCGCCUACAUGAAGGUGGAGUUGCUAGUAAUCGCGGAUCAGCACUGCCGCGGUGAAUACGUUCCCGGGCCUUGUACACACCGCCCGU